GUUUAACGUUGUGUUUUAAAUGCAGCAAAACUGCACCGGAGAUGCAAAGUCACAGAGCGGGCUCGGAGGGAAGAUCAGGGGGAUUAUUUCUGUUACAUCCAAGCAAAGGGUGGACUGCCACAGAGCGGAACACCAGCUGCUGCGAGGCUGAAGGUCAGUGAGAGAAGCCCGGAUCAGACCACCAGCACUCCUCCCCCUACAUCGGUGUCUCCGACACAGACGACUUCAGAAGUAAACGGACUGGGAACUCUGGCCGCUGUCUGCAUCACAGCUGUGGUCUUUUUGGUUUUCGGCCUUGUGUGUGGAUGGUUCCUGAAAUCUCACUGCUCCACGUACUUGUCACGUCUUCUCCGACGCUUUGGACCCGGAGAUGAACGACAUGAUGUAGAUGGGGCGUCGGAGCCUUUGAGCCAUCCUCCUCCUCUGCAGAUGAAUGGCCACCAUCCAUCAAAUACGUCCCAGGCAGACGUCUGAAGACUUUUAGGAUCAAUAAGUGACAACUUUUAACUUAUUAAUGCGCUUCAGCUUAUUUAUGUGUGCAGCUUAUAAUUAUAAUUAUGCAUUUUAACACCGAUCAAAGCUUUCGUUUACUGUCUUAAUUUCUUUUUUUUUCUUUUUUAUGUAACAUCUUGCUUCAGCUGUGUGUGAUUAAAUAAACAGUGUCUUU
Long non-coding RNA from Oreochromis aureus, 667 nucleotides. Lineage: Eukaryota; Metazoa; Chordata; Actinopteri; Cichliformes; Cichlidae. The record is from Ensembl.